GAUGAACGCUGGCGGCGUGCUUAACACAUGCAAGUCGAACGGAAAGGCCCAAGCUUGCUUGGGUACUCGAGUGGCGAACGGGUGAGUAACACGUGGGUGAUCUGCCCUGCACUUCGGGAUAAGCCUGGGAAACUGGGUCUAAUACCGGAUAGGACCACAUUUUGGAUGGUGUGGUGGAAAGUUUUUCGGUGUGGGAUGAGCUCGCGGCCUAUCAGCUUGUUGGUGGGGUAAUGGCCUACCAAGGCGUCGACGGGUAGCCGGCCUGAGAGGGUGUACGGCCACAUUGGGACUGAGAUACGGCCCAGACUCCUACGGGGGGCAGCAGUGGGGAAUAUUGCACAAUGGGCGCAAGCCUGAUGCAGCGAAGCCGCGUGGGGGAUGACGGCCUUCGGGUUGGAAACUCCUUUCGCUAGGGACGAAGCGUUAUGUGACGGUACCUGGAGAAGAAGCAACGGCUAACUACGUG
This 466-nucleotide ribosomal RNA is filed under the name uncultured bacterium. RNAcentral's name for it is "partial 16S ribosomal RNA". It matches the Rfam family "Bacterial small subunit ribosomal RNA", at positions 28 to 507 of the family's 1533-position model. The record is from RNAcentral.